AAAAUACUCAACAAAAUCCUCACAAA
RNAcentral lists this unclassified non-coding RNA (26 nucleotides) under Mus musculus (house mouse). RNAcentral's name for it is "oocyte_clustered_small_RNA572". The record is from RNAcentral. Lineage: Eukaryota; Metazoa; Chordata; Mammalia; Rodentia; Muridae.